RNAcentral lists this ribosomal RNA (301 nucleotides) under uncultured bacterium. RNAcentral describes it as "partial 16S ribosomal RNA". It matches the Rfam family "Bacterial small subunit ribosomal RNA", at positions 509 to 809 of the family's 1533-position model. The record is from RNAcentral.
CAGUAGCCGCGGGAAUACGAAGGGGGCUAGCGUUGCUCGGAAUGACUGGGCGUAAAGGGCGCGUAGGCGGAUUGUUUAGUUAGGCGUGAAAUUCCUGGGCUUAACCUGGGGACUGCGCUUAAUACAGGCAGUCUAGAGUGAGGAAGAGGGUUGUGGAAUUCCCAGUGUAGAGGUGAAAUUCGUAGAUAUUGGGAAGAACACCGGUGGCGAAGGCGGCAACCUGGUCCUUGACUGACGCUGAGGCGCGAAAGCGUGGGGAGCAAACAGGAUUAGAGACCCCCGUAGUCCCUGUCUCUUAUAA